AGAGUUUGCUCCUGGCUCAGGAUGAACGCUGGCGGCGUGCUUAACACAUGCAAGUCGAACGAAGCACCUUGAUUUGAUUCUUCGGAUGAAGAUCUUGGUGACUGAGUGGCGGACGGGUGAGUAACGCGUGGGUAACCUGCCUCAUACAGGGGGAUAACAGUUAGAAAUGACUGCUAAUACCGCAUAAGACCACAGCACCGCAUGGUGCAGGGGUAAAAACUCCGGUGGUAUGAGAUGGACCCGCGUCUGAUUAGGUAGUUGGUGGGGUAACGGCCUACCAAGCCGACGAUCAGUAGCCGACCUGAGAGGGUGACCGGCCACAUUGGGACUGAGACACGGCCCAAACUCCUACGGGAGGCAGCAGUGGGGAAUAUUGCACAAUGGGGGAAACCCUGAUGCACCGACGCCGCGUGAGCGAUGAAGUAUUUCGGUAUGUAAAGCUCUAUCAGCAGGGAAGAAAAUGACGGUACCUGACUAAGAAGCACCGGCUAAAUACGUGCCAGCAGCCGCGGUAAUACGUAUGGUGCAAGCGUUAUCCGGAUUUACUGGGUGUAAAGGGAGCGUAGACGGAGUGGCAAGUCUGAUGUGAAAACCCGGGGCUCAACCCCGGGACUGCAUUGGAAACUGUCAAUCUAGAGACCCGGAGAGGUAAGCGGAAUUCCUAGUGUAGCGGGACAUGCGUAGAUAUUAGGAGGAACACCAGUGCCGAAGGCGGAUUACUGGACGGUAACUGACGUUGGAGGCUCGAAAGCGUGGGGAGCAAACAGGAUUAGAUACCGUGGUAGUCCACGCCGUAAACGAUGACUACUAGGUGUCGGGCAGCGAAGGCUGUUCGGUGCCGCAGCAAACGCAAUAAGUAGUCCACCUGGGGAGUACGUUCGCAAGAAUGAAACUCAAAGGAAUUGACGGGGACCCGCACAAGCGGUGGAGCAUGUGGUUUAAUUCGAAGCAACGCGAAGAACCUUACCUGCUCUUGACAUCUCCCUGACCGGCAAGUAAUGUUGCCUUUCCUUCGGGACAGGGAUGACAGGUGGUGCAUGGUUGUCGUCAGCUCGUGUCGUGAGAUGUUGGGUUAAGUCCCGCAACGAGCGCAACCCCUAUCUUUAGUAGCCAGCGGUCAGGCCGGGCACUCUAGAGAGACUGCCAGGGAUAACCUGGAGGAAGGUGGGGAUGACGUCAAAUCAUCAUGCCCCUUAUGAGCAGGGCUACACACGUGCUACAAUGGCGUAAACAAAGGGAGGCAGAACCGCGAGGUCGAGCAAAUCCCAAACAUAACGUCUCAGUUCGGAUUGUAGUCUGCAACUCGACUACAUGAAGCUGGAAUCGCUAGUAAUCGCGAAUCAGAAUGUCGCGGUGAAUACGUUCCCGGGGUCUUGUACACACCGCCCGUCA
This 1392-nucleotide ribosomal RNA is filed under the name uncultured bacterium. Its description in RNAcentral is "16S ribosomal RNA". It matches the Rfam family "Bacterial small subunit ribosomal RNA". The record is from RNAcentral.